ACGGGUGAGUAACGCGUGGGAAUCUACCUUUUGCUACGGAAUAGCUCCGGGAAACUGGAAUUAAUACCGUAUGUGCCCUUAGGGGGAAAGAUUUAUCGGCAAGAGAUGAGCCCGCGUUGGAUUAGCUAGUUGGUGGGGUAAAGGCCUACCAAGGCGACGAUCCAUAGCUGGUCUGAGAGGAUGAUCAGCCACAUUGGGACUGAGACACGGCCCAAACUCCUACGGGAGGCAGCAGUGGGGAAUAUUGGACAAUGGGCGCAAGCCUGAUCCAGCCAUGCCGCGUGAGUGAUGAAGGCCUUAGGGUUGUAAAGCUCUUUCACCGGAGAAGAUAAUGACGGUAUCCGGAGAAGAAGCCCCGGCUAACUUCGUGCCAGCAGCCGCGGUAAUACGAAGGGGGCUAGCGUUGUUCGGAAUGACUGGGCGUAAAGCGCACGUAGGCGGACAUUUAAGUCAGGGGUGAAAUCCCGGGGCUCAACCUCGGAACUGCCUUUGAUACUGGGUGUCUGGAGUGUGGAAGAGGUGAGUGGAAUUCCGAGUGUAGAGGUGAAAUUCGUAGA
RNAcentral lists this ribosomal RNA (557 nucleotides) under uncultured bacterium. RNAcentral describes it as "bacterial SSU rRNA". It matches the Rfam family "Bacterial small subunit ribosomal RNA", at positions 102 to 694 of the family's 1533-position model. The record is from RNAcentral.